Molecule: long non-coding RNA, 1157 nt
Organism: Raphanus sativus (radish)
Lineage: Eukaryota; Viridiplantae; Streptophyta; Magnoliopsida; Brassicales; Brassicaceae
Exons: 3
Source: RefSeq, a predicted model, not a curated record
AAGCACAUUUGUGUUCUCCGUUUCACAUCGAUCGGCGGAGGAGAUGACGUUCCAGUUCCAUAACGGGGGCGUUGUGAUUUCUUCGACUUUAAUCUCAUUGUCUUUAAUCCCACUAAAUCGAAUGCCCACUACGAUCUGUUCGGUUGAGUUGUUCAGUCGGCGAUUUCAUGUAUAAAUAGACGGCACGGAUGAACAAUUAAACCCGCUUGAGAUCAUAAGUCUGAUUCAGACGGCACAGAUGGAGAUCUUCAAGGGCCUCAGAGACACAAAGGGGAAGCAGUCAGUGUGUUCUUGAAGAAUAUAUUUUGAACAACUCUACUCCCUCUUUUCUUAUUGUUUUCCAUUAGCUACUAUGAUGAAAACCAUCAUCUGUCCGCUAACACAUUUGUCAACGUUUCUGUUUAUAUAUUUCAGACAUUAUCUAUUUUAAAGGUUCAAUUGAUCCAUAUGAUAUAUAUAUUGUACUACCAUAUGCAUACUGAAAACAGAUAUAAAGAAAGAGAAAUAUCAUGGUUAACUUGAAUAUUGACAGGUGUGUUACAUAAGAAGCACUAUAUAUACGUUAAUCAGUAGAAGUUUAGUUAUGUGUGUGAAUGAUUGUUUGUUCACUUUUUUCACAAAGGAGUGUGACAACGUUUAGCGUGAGUGUUAUCCAACUUGAAACUGCACUUUGUUUUAUCAUGUGUAUGUCAUACAUUUUUUGUGAUGCUGUUGGAGUAAAGGGAAGGAACAUUAUGAAAGCAUCUUCAACUGUCACUACUGAAAUUGUCGAUCACAGAUAAGUCUUUUUAAGGAGAAUACAAAAUCAAUUUUUGUAUUCAGUGAUUCUGAUAUGUUUUUGUAGGUAUGGUGCAAAGACAGCAGAGGCCACAAACAGAGAAACGCGGGGUUUGGAGCAGCAGGGCAUGCUCUUAGAACAGCGUGGACAGUUUUCAUGAUCAGACAAGCUCUCCCAAAGAGCCUGUAGUAAAGAGUGUGUUUAAUUGAUGUCUAAAACCGCAGUUAAAACGGCAGCCUAAUAAAAAAAAAGGGAAAGGAGCUUUUUUAAAUCAACCGAGAAAAAGAGUUAUAAGUGGAUGUUGUGUUGUUUGUACAUCAGUUUCAUUGCCUUGGUGCAAAAGCAAUACCCAUUUGAAAAAAUAGGUUUUGGUUAUUGU